Coregonus clupeaformis (lake whitefish) is the source of this 1981-nucleotide RNA transcript. It is a transcript of the gene named leucine-rich repeat and guanylate kinase domain-containing protein-like, with no coding region annotated. The transcript has 9 exons. Lineage: Eukaryota; Metazoa; Chordata; Actinopteri; Salmoniformes; Salmonidae. The record is from RefSeq and is a predicted model, not a curated record.
UGUGUGUAGGAGGAGGGGGAGUUGUGUGUGAGCUUGUGUACGUUUAUUGAUAUGUGUGUGUGUGUAUUUGUCCACACAGGGUACUCAUAUUCCCAGUGUUUGUCAUGUAUCACAUUCUCUCUAUCCAGAGGGGGAAUCAGAUUGAGAAGAUAGAGAAUGUGGAGACUCUGAGAACCCUGCAGGUCCUGGAUCUGUCUCUGAACCGCAUCACAAGUCUGUCAGGCCUGCAGAACCUCCAUCUGCUGGGCUCCAUCAACCUGGAGAGGGACCUGAUCAGUGAAAUUAAGGAGGCCACACACAUCCAUGACCUGUGGCUGCUCCGGGAGCUGAAUCUGCAGAGAAACCCAGUCCAGGAGCAGCUGGACUAUAGACUGGCAGUGAUCUUCCUCCUUCAACACCUAACUGUCCUGGACCAGGAGAAAGUCACAGCAGAGGAGAAGGUGUCGGCCUUGAACAAGUACGACCCUCCUCUGGAGGUGGUGGCGGCCAGGGAGCACAUGAGCCACAUGGUAUACCAGCUGAUGCAGCCUCAGGUCAUCAAUGAUAGCACCCUACCCAGUCUGGACUCUCCCUACCCCAUGCUGCUGUUGACUGGGCCCCAGGCUUGUGGGAAGAGAGAGAGUUUAACGACUUCUUCGCCUACGGAGUCUGCCAUACCACCAGGGGUCCCUACUUUGGGGAAGAGGACGGGAGCGACUAUCAUUUUGUCACGGAGGAAGACUUUCAGAACAUGAUUCACAUGGGUAAAUUCAUCCAGACGAUGCAGUAUGCGGGCCACUGGUAUGGUCUGUCUCGUGAGGCCAUAGAAGACGUGGCCAGGGAGGGCCUGGCCUGCUGUGUGCACCUGGAGCUGGAGGUGGGUGUCAACACACACACAUUCACAUAGCCCAGCAGUAUGAAAUUGGACACAUACGCCCUGAUCAACAGAGAACGCCCAGACUUCUUCGACAAUGUCAUCCCCUGUGAUGAACUAGUGGAGGCCUACAGGACCUUGAGGCAGGUGGUGAAGGAGUAUCUGGGAGUGGAGGAGCAGAGAGGAGAGGACCAGAGCACCACAGACACCCUAGACAACACCUCUACAGAGUUGAAGAGGGACUCCUUAGUGGACGAGGCGCCCCCAGCCCCCUCCACCAGGCCAGAGACAGCCUUUAAGUCCCACUCCGCUCCAUACAUGGACCCCUCGGACCACAACUGUAGGAACUACUACAGCAAGGUCCAGACCCAGCUUACCCCACAGAAGACCUCGGCAGUGAUUCACAACACACACACACGUCAGUAGUCACCAACCCUGCUCCUGGACAACUAUGGUAUUCAGGCUUUUGUUUCAGCCCAGCACUAAUUUGUCUGAUUCAACCAAUCAAGGUCUUGGUGAGCAGUUGAUUAGUUGGAUCUGACUGAUCCAGCCCUGAGGAACCAGGUGUGUACACUCUCUGGCCAAACAGUGACAUUGAUUAAUCAACGUAGUGCCAGGAAGAAAGAGAAAACAGCUGGACUGUAGACAUGGAGGACAGGAGUCAGGCACCUAGGGUCACAAAGGCAGGGUGUAUUACCGGUAGUUUGGCAACACUAGGUGAACCCCCGAGACUGCCUUGUGCUAUUGAUCACAAUGAUCUAGAUCAGGGUUAUUCAACUCUUACCCUACGAGGUCCAGAGCCUGCUGGUUUUCUGUUCUACCUGAUAAUUAAUUGCACACACCUGGUGUCCCAGGUCUAAAUCAGUCCCUGAUUAGAGAGGAACAAUGAAAAACUGCAGUGGAACUGUCUUCGAGGUCCAGAGUUGAGUUUGAGGGAUCUAGAUCAAUCAUCAUUAUUCAUCCACGCCAGUAUCAUGUUUGAAUACUUUAUCUCUCUCUCUGGGCCGUAGGAGCUGGCCUCCAUCCACAGACACAGCAUCAUGUUUAAAUACUUUAUCUCUCUCUCUGGGCCGUAGGAGCUGGCCUCCAUCCACAGACACAGCAUCAUGUUUAAAUACUUUAUCUCUC